GAUGAACGCUAGCGGCAGGCCUAAUACAUGCAAGCCGAACGGCAAGCCUUGUAGCAAUACGAGGCCUAGAGUGGCGCAAGGGUGCGUAACACGUAUGCAAUCUGCCCACAACAGGAGGACAGCUCCCCGAAAGGGGAAUUAACCCUCCAUGGGACCACACGAGGGCAUCCGAGAGUGGUUAAACCAAAAGGGGUUGUGGAUGGGCAUGCGGUUGAUUAGCUGGUUGGAGGGUAACGGCCUACCAAGGCGAUGAUCAAUAGGGGAACUGAGAGGUUUGUCCCCCACACUGGCACUGAGAUACGGGCCAGACUCCUACGGGAGGCAGCAGUAGGGAAUAUUGGACAAUGGGCGGGAGCCUGAU
This 361-nucleotide ribosomal RNA is filed under the name uncultured bacterium. RNAcentral's name for it is "bacterial SSU rRNA". It matches the Rfam family "Bacterial small subunit ribosomal RNA", at positions 28 to 387 of the family's 1533-position model. The record is from RNAcentral.